Molecule: ribosomal RNA, 1460 nt
Filed under: Escherichia coli
Lineage: Bacteria; Pseudomonadati; Pseudomonadota; Gammaproteobacteria; Enterobacterales; Enterobacteriaceae
Description: partial 23S ribosomal RNA
Rfam family: Bacterial large subunit ribosomal RNA
Source: RNAcentral
GGGAGGACCACCUCCCAAGGCUAAAUACUACCUGAUGACCGAUAGUGAAGCAGUACCGUGAGGGAAAGGUGAAAAGAACCCCGGGAGGGGAGUGAAAUAGAACCUGAAACCGUGUGCCUACAACCGCUCAGAGCCCCUUAUGAGGGUGAUGAGGUGCUUUUUGUAGAACGAGCCAACGAGUUACGGUAUGUAGCAAGGUUAAGUACUUAAGGUACGGAGCCGAAGGGAAACCGAGUCUGAAUAGGGCGACUAGUUGCAUGCCGUAGACCCGAAACCGGGUGACCUAUCCAUGGCCAGGUUGAAGCGAGGGUAAAACCUCGUGGAGGACCGAACCACGUUGCUGUUGAAAAAGCAUGGGAUGAGCUGUGGAUAGCGGAGAAAUUCCAAUCGAACCCGGAGAUAGCUGGUUCUCUCCGAAAUAGCUUUAGGGCUAGCGUCGAGUAUGAGUAGUGGAGGUAGAGCACUGAAUGGGCUAGGGGGCAUAGCGCUUACCGAACCUUAUCAAACUCCGAAUGCCACAUACUUUGAGCUCGGCAGUCAGACUACGAAUGAUAAGAUCCGUGGUCAAAAGGGAAACAGCCCAGAUCGUCAGCUAAGGUCCCAAAGUGUAAGUUAAGUGGGAAAGGAUGUGAGAUUUCUAAGACAACUAGGAUGUUGGCUUAGAAGCAGCCAUUCAUUAAAAGAGUGCGUAAUAGCUCACUAGUCGAGAGAUCUUGCGCCGAAAAUGUAACGGGGCUAAACUUACCACCGAAGCUACGGGCUUGAACAUAGUUCAAGCGGUAGGAGAGCGUCGUAACCGGGCUGAAGUCGUACCGUAAGGAGCGGUGGACUGGUUACGAGUGAGAAUGUUGGCAUCAGUAGCGAGAUGUGGGUGAGAAUCCCACAGGCCGAAAACCUAAGGUUUCCUCAGGAAGGUUCGUCCGCUGAGGGUUAGUCGGGACCUAAGCCGAGGCCGAAAGGCGUAGGUGAUGGACAACUGGUUGAUAUUCCAGUACCACUACCAUCGUUAUUAUCGAUGGCGUGACGCAGGAGGAUAGUGUGUGCUAGCUAUUGGAUGCUAGUCUAAGCGUUUAGGCAGUGAGAGUAGGCAAAUCCGCUCUCAUAAUGCUGAGGCGUGAUGGGGAAGGUUCCACGGAACCGAAGUACAUGAUUCCACGCUGCCAAGAAAAGCGUCUAGAGAGAGAAGUAGUGCCCGUACCGCAAACCGACACAGGUAGGUGAGGAGAGAAUCCUAAGGCCGGCGGAAGAAUUACAGUUAAGGAACUCGGCAAAUUGACCCCGUAAGUUCGCGAGAAGGGGUGCCUACGAGAGUAGGCCGCAGAGAAUAGGCCCAAGCAACUGUUUAGCAAAAACACAGGUCUCUGCUAAAGCGUAAGCUGAUGUAUAGGGGCUGACGCCUGCCCGGUGCUGGAAGGUUAAGGGGAACACUUAGCGCAAGCGAAGGUGUGAACUUAAGCCCC